Molecule: unclassified non-coding RNA, 1301 nt
Filed under: uncultured Neocallimastigales
Lineage: Eukaryota; Fungi; Neocallimastigomycota; Neocallimastigomycetes; Neocallimastigales
Description: partial contains internal transcribed spacer 1, 5.8S ribosomal RNA, internal transcribed spacer 2, and large subunit ribosomal RNA
Rfam family: Eukaryotic large subunit ribosomal RNA (bases 626-1301)
Source: RNAcentral
AAAAAAUUGGACUCCAUUGGUGUUUCAUUAAUAAUCCCUACCCUUUGUGAAUUUGUUUGUUUGAAUAAUUUUUUUCCAAAAAAAAUUAUUGAAUGUCUUUCCUUGUUUUGGUGGAGCUUGUAAAGUGAAACCAGGCAGGGGAAUGGCAAACAAUAAUUAUUUUUGAAAAAGACCUUUUUUUAAAAUUAAACUUUUUGUAUUCAUUUGUCUAAAAUUAAUUUUUAUAAUAUAAAAACAACUUUUGACAAUGGAUCUCUUGGUUCUCGCAACGAUGAAGAACGCAGCAAAAUGCGAUAAGUAGUGUGAAUUGCAGAAUACGUGAAUCAUCGAAUCUUCGAACGCAUAUUGCACUUUUUUAGUUUACUAAAAAAGUAUGUCUGUUUGAGUAUCAGUAAAAUAUUCUCAUAAAAAACAUUGUUUUUUUUAUGGUUAUGAGUGUUUUACAACGAUAACAAGUUGUUUCACUUUAAAUUCUUUGUUAUCAAAAAAAUCAUUAAAAGCUAAUUUUAAAGAUUUUUUAAAUUGGAUUAAAAUUUUCCCGUAAAAGGAAUAACCUAAACAAUUUUAAAAAAUUAAAAUUGGUUUGAUUUUUUUUGAAACCCAAAGGAAAAAAACGAAAUUAACUUGAUCUCAAAUCAGAUAAGAGUACCCGCUGAACUUAAGCAUAUCAAUAAGCGGAGGAAAAGAAACUAACUAGGAUUCCCUCAGUAACGGCGAGUGAAGCGGGAAGAGCUCAAAUUUGAAAUCUUCAAGGUUUUACCUUGACGAAUUGUAGUUAAAGAAGUGUUUUCUGUUGGAGUUUUGGUAAAAGUUCUUUGGAAAAGGACAUCAUAGAGGGUGAGAAUCCCGUAUCUUGACCAUUAUCUCCAGCUUUGUGAUACACUUUCAAAGAGUCGGAUUGUUUGGGAAUGCGGUCCAAAAUGGGUGGUAAAUUUCAUCUAAGCUAAAUACUGGCGAGAGACCGAUAGCGAACAAGUACCGUGAGGGAAAGAUGAAAAGAACUUUGAAAAGAGAGUUAAACAGUACGUGAAAUUGUCAAAAGGGAAGCGUUUGACACCAGUGUUGUUUUCUCGAAAAUCAAUUAAAAAAGGCCGGAUUUUGUGUUGUAUUGACUUUAUCAGCUUUCUGCACUCUUUUCUUGUCUUUUUUAAUGCACUUUUCGUUUAACAAGUCAACAUCAAUUUCUUUUGUUGUAAAAGGGUCAUUGGAAGGUGGCUUUCUUUUCGGAGAAAGUGUUUAUAGCCUUUGGCCUCUGCAAUCGGAGAGAUUGAGGUCUGCAGCGUAGAUCCUUCGGGGUUAGA